This is a long non-coding RNA of Centropristis striata (black sea bass), 1048 nucleotides long. RefSeq lists it as uncharacterized. The record is from RefSeq and is a predicted model, not a curated record. NCBI's taxonomy places the organism in Eukaryota, Metazoa, Chordata, Actinopteri, Perciformes, Serranidae. The transcript is spliced from 3 exons.
AGCAACUUUGGUUUAAGACGGCAACACUUACAUACCUAAUUUAACUUAAUUAAGCAUUACUUUAGUCUGUAUGUGUGUGGGAGUAAAGUCCGUGAGUUACUAAAAAUAGCCGUUAAGCUAGCAGGCGUAGCUAUGGUAACCGCUUAGCUGCUAUAGUUAAUUAAGUGUGUUUUUAGCAUCGGCUAGUAGUAGUUUCUUUGAGUUCGCUUGUGGCUACUGGAUAAGUAACACAAAAUGAGUGUAAACCUACCUUACCCUGGUUUUAAAUACAGGAAGCCCCUCCGGGUGAACUGUGGGGGUCAUCUGAUGAAGACACCUGCCGGGACUUUUGACGUGUUACAGGGUCAGUUAGCGCCAUUACUGACCGGAAAAGGCCCCGGAUGUCUCUGACGAAGAUGCUGGCUUCCGGUUGGUCACUGUUACUCUCUGACACAAUCCAACUCUCCAGGACAGAAGCAGAACUCCUCGCUCUCCCCUGCGGCUUUCUCUCACACACAGGCGGUGUGAUGGCGCUGCAGCAGCAGAGAGAAAGAUCUGGGUGACCAUCUGAAACCAAUUAUGGCGGCGCUGCAGCCACCCAGAAACUCAGUGACGGAUGGGGAUCUUGUAUUUAUAGCUGGGACAUGAAAACCCUCCUCGGUCAGGGUGAUGAUAGCUCCAGGCCUGCGGUCAAGCUACUGUGGAGCCAAACCCACCUCCAGUCUGUCAGUCAUAUAAUGGCUCUUUAAGACCUUUUGCCAAUCGGUCCGCAACACUCCAGGUCUGAGGCUAACAGCUUCCAUAAACACCUCUCAUCCAGUCGUCUUGUGGUGUUUUCCCUCGCCUGUCAUGUCACCUUGUAUCAAAGAGCUAAAAAGUCUCCGUGCAAGUGUGUGGUCGUGUGGUUGUGUGUGUGUGCAGCGUACGCGAGUGUUUUGUGACCACAGUAAGUCAGUCCACUUGUCAGCUUUUAAACCAGAACCACUGGCUAAAGCCCACAACUCUGCAAACAGGGCAGAGGGAGAUAGAGAGGUUACGUUUACAGCUGCAGUGUGCAGGGAGAGGUUUG